Non-coding RNA from Chaetomidium leptoderma, 115 nucleotides. NCBI's taxonomy places the organism in Eukaryota, Fungi, Ascomycota, Sordariomycetes, Sordariales, Chaetomiaceae. The record is from the annotation of a GenBank genome assembly.
GGCAAGGUGGCCGAGCGGUCUAAGGCGCCACGUUAAGGUCCACAACCCUUAAUCAUCUUCUCCCAGAGAAUCCGUGGUCUCGAAAGGGGCGUGAGUUCGAAUCUCACCCUUGUCA